CUCAACAAUCGAAUUGCCUUUGAAACUGUGUGGCUCGAGUAUAGAUGAGGUAGGCGGAAUGUGUAGUGUANCGGUGAAAUGCAUAGAUAUUACACAGAACCCCAAUUGCGAAGGCAGCUUACCAAACUAUUACUGACGCUGAAGCACGAAAGCGUGGGUAGCGAACAGGAUUAGAUACCCUGGUAGUCCACGCCGUAAACUAUGCUCACUCGCUGUUGGCAAUAGAUCGUCAGCGGCUAAGGGAAACCGAUAAGUGAGCCACCUGGGGAGUACGAUCGCAAGAUUGAAGCUCAAAGGAAUUGACGGGGGCCCGCACAAGCGGAGGAACAUGUGGUUUAAUUCGAUGAUACGCGAGGAACCUUACCUGGGCUUAAAUGUAGAGUGCAUAAAGUGGAAACAUUUUUUUCCUUCGGGACUCUUUACAAGGUGCUGCAUGGUUGUCGUCAGCUCGUGCCGUGAGGUGUCGGGUUAAGUCCCAUAACGAGCGCAACCCCUAUCGUUAGUUACCAGCACGUAGUGGUGGGGACUCUAGCGAAACUGCCGGUGUAAACCGUGAGGAAGGUGGGGAUGACGUCAAAUCAGCACGGCCCUUAUGUCCAGGGCUACACACGUGUUACAAUGGUCGGUACAGUGGGCGGCCACAUAGCAAUAUGGAGCUAAUCUCAAAAGCCGAUCUCAGUUCGGAUUGGAGUCUGCAACCCGACUCCAUGAAGGUGGAUUCGCUAGUAAUCGCGCAUCAGCCAUGGCGCGGUGAUACGUUCCCGGGCCUGUACACACCGCCCGUCAAGCCAUGGAAGUUUGGGGUGCCUGAAGUUCGUAACCGCAAGGAGCGACCUAG
This 838-nucleotide ribosomal RNA is filed under the name uncultured organism. RNAcentral describes it as "bacterial SSU rRNA". It matches the Rfam family "Bacterial small subunit ribosomal RNA", at positions 608 to 1460 of the family's 1533-position model. The record is from RNAcentral.